This 253-nucleotide ribosomal RNA is filed under the name uncultured bacterium. RNAcentral's name for it is "partial 16S ribosomal RNA". It matches the Rfam family "Bacterial small subunit ribosomal RNA", at positions 524 to 776 of the family's 1533-position model. The record is from RNAcentral.
UACGAAGGCUCCAAGCGUUAUCCGGAUUUAUUGGGCGUAAAGCGUGCGCAGAUGGUUUUGUGCGUCUUGUGUUAAAUGUCUCCGCUUAACGGGGUCGCUGCACAGGAUACGGCAAAACUAGAGGGUGCGAGAGGUGACUAGAACUUAUGGUGUAGGGGUGAAAUCCGUUGAUAUCAUAGGGAAUACCAAAGGCGAAGGCAUGUCACUGGCGCAUUCCUGACAUUCAGGCACGAAAGCGUGGGGCGCGAAUGGG